This 88-nucleotide transfer RNA is filed under the name Vitreoscilla sp. RNAcentral's name for it is "tRNA-Ser". It matches the Rfam family "tRNA". Rfam says of the family: Transfer RNA (tRNA) molecules are approximately 80 nucleotides in length. Their secondary structure includes four short double-helical elements and three loops (D, anti-codon, and T loops). Further hydrogen bonds mediate the characteristic L-shaped molecular structure. tRNAs have two regions of fundamental functional importance: the anti-codon, which is responsible for specific mRNA codon recognition, and the 3' end, to which the tRNAs corresponding amino acid is attached (by aminoacyl-tRNA synthetases). tRNAs cope with the degeneracy of the genetic code in two manners: having more than one tRNA (with a specific anti-codon) for a particular amino acid; and 'wobble' base-pairing, i.e. permitting non-standard base-pairing at the 3rd anti-codon position. The record is from RNAcentral. RNAcentral also lists the same sequence under 5 other names. Lineage: Bacteria; Pseudomonadati; Pseudomonadota; Betaproteobacteria; Neisseriales; Neisseriaceae.
GGAGAGGUGGCAGAGUGGUCGAUUGUACCUGACUCGAAAUCAGGCGUACCGCAAGGUACCGUGGGUUCGAAUCCCACCCUCUCCGCCA